RNAcentral lists this transfer RNA (65 nucleotides) under Lycostomus sp. YXY-2021. Its description in RNAcentral is "tRNA-Pro". RNAcentral also lists the same sequence under 1 other name. The record is from RNAcentral. Lineage: Eukaryota; Metazoa; Arthropoda; Insecta; Coleoptera; Lycidae.
CAGAGAAUAGUUUGAUAAAAAUAUUAAUUUUGGAGAUUAAAGUUAAGGUGAUACCUUUUCUCUGA